AGCAGGGGUGCCGGAUCCUUCCGGCUGAGAGGAGAGUUCUCUCCAACCCUUUAAACCUGAUACGGGUCAUACCGGCGUAGGGAGCGA
RNAcentral lists this non-coding RNA (87 nucleotides) under chicken gut metagenome. RNAcentral's name for it is "TPP riboswitch (THI element)". It matches the Rfam family "TPP riboswitch aptamer (THI element)", at positions 9 to 90 of the family's 105-position model. From Rfam's summary of the family: Vitamin B(1) in its active form thiamin pyrophosphate (TPP) is an essential coenzyme that is synthesised by coupling of pyrimidine and thiazole moieties in bacteria. The previously detected thiamin-regulatory element, thi box was extended, resulting in a new, highly conserved RNA secondary structure, the THI element, which is widely distributed in eubacteria and also occurs in some archaea. The record is from RNAcentral.